AGUGAACGCUGGCGGCGUGCUUAACACAUGCAAGUCGAACGAGAACGGAUUAUAGCUUGCUAUAAUUGUCAGCUAAGUGGCGCACGGGUGAGUAAUGUAUAGGUAAUAUGCCUCUUACUAAGGGAUAACAAAUGGAAACGUUUGCUAAUACCUUAUACUCCUUAUUAACAUAAGUUAAUAAGGGAAAGAUUUAUUGGUAAGAGAUUAGCCUGUAUUGUAUCAGUUAGUUGGUGGGGUAAUGGCCUACCAAGACUAUGACACAUAACUGGUUUGAGAGGAUGAUCAGUCACACUGGAACUGAGACACGGUCCAGACUCCUACGGGAGGCAGCAGUGGGGAAUAUUGCACAAUGGACGAAAGUCUGAUGCAGCAACGCCGCGUGGAGGAUGACACAUUUCGGUGCGUAUACUCCUUUUAUAUGAGAAGAUAAUGACGGUAUUAUAUGAAUAAGCACCGGCUAACUCCGUGCCAGCCGCCGCCGUAA
RNAcentral lists this ribosomal RNA (484 nucleotides) under uncultured bacterium. RNAcentral describes it as "partial 16S ribosomal RNA". It matches the Rfam family "Bacterial small subunit ribosomal RNA", at positions 29 to 523 of the family's 1533-position model. The record is from RNAcentral.